RNAcentral lists this transfer RNA (83 nucleotides) under Lentisphaerota bacterium. RNAcentral's name for it is "Lentisphaerae bacterium (groundwater metagenome) tRNA-Leu". It matches the Rfam family "tRNA". From Rfam's summary of the family: Transfer RNA (tRNA) molecules are approximately 80 nucleotides in length. The record is from RNAcentral. Lineage: Bacteria; Pseudomonadati; Lentisphaerota.
GCCUGGGUGGCGGAAUGGCAGACGCAUCGGACUUAAAAUCCGAUGGCUUAACGGCCGUAAGGGUUCGACUCCCUUCCCAGGCA